RNAcentral lists this small RNA (590 nucleotides) under Spisula solidissima (Atlantic surf clam). Its description in RNAcentral is "cnRNA246". Lineage: Eukaryota; Metazoa; Mollusca; Bivalvia; Venerida; Mactridae. The record is from RNAcentral.
AGUCAGUGUCAGCAGUCUAUCAGUCACCAAGUCGGUAGUGGGUCAAUCAGUGUAUCAGCAGUAUGACAUUCAGUAAUGAUGCAAUUACUGACAUACGACUGAUACACUGAUUGACACUCGACUGAAAGUCUGACUGGAAUACUACUGGUACAUUAUCAACCCAUUUACGAACCCACUGCCGUAAUACUGACUGGCAUGCUGUUGACAAACUACCUGGUCCACUGCUUAUGUACUGGCUGAAAACUACCGACACCCUGACUGAAAUAUUGCCAACACACGGUCAGCAAGCUGUAUGUCACAUUGCCUCAUUACUGAAUGUCAUACUGCUGAUAUACUGACUGAUCCACUUCGAACAAACUGACUGACUGACAUACUACUGAUACACUGACGGGUAUACUGCAUACCAACUGGUCCCUCAACUACUGACACACUGACAUACUGCUAACACUGGCUGCCACAGAGCUGAGUCACUCACAUACAUACUGCCGACACACUGACUGACUCGCUGAAUAACAUUAUGCAAUUACACUGACUGACAUACUGCAMCAUACUGUUGACACACUGACUGACAUACAGCUGAUUCACCGCAU